Molecule: long non-coding RNA, 769 nt
Filed under: Salmo salar (Atlantic salmon)
Lineage: Eukaryota; Metazoa; Chordata; Actinopteri; Salmoniformes; Salmonidae
Description: lncRNA (ENSSSAG00000121968.1)
Source: RNAcentral
GGUCGAUCUGAGAACAAUGACACCGGUGCGCGCGUGCACGUGAAGAGUCCAUUUUCUUCUUUCAGUCUUUGAACGAAAACAACGUCUCCUGGUUGGAAUAUUAUCGCUAUUUUAUGAGAAAAAUCCCAUAAAAAUUGAUUUUAAACAGCGUUUGACAUGCUUCGAAGUACGGUAAUGGAAUAUUUUGAAUUUUUUGUCACGACAUGCGUCCGCGCGUCACAGUUCAGAUAGGGACCUGAACGCACGGACAAAAUAGAGGAUAUUUGAACACAACUAAGGAUUAUUUUGAACCAAAACAAAAUUUGUGGUUGAAGUAGAAGUCCUGGGAGUGCAUUCUGACGAAGAACAGCAAAGAUUUACCGGAAAAGAUGUCCUCAUUCGCUUAGUCCAAAAUGCGGAAUGCUAUUGACGGUUUGGCUAUGCGAUUUCUGGGAAAGAUGUGCAUAUACACUGCGUGCACAAUUAUUAGGACCUGAGCCCUAGGACCAUGCCUCAGGACUACCUGGCUUGAUGACUCCUUGCUGUCCCCAGUUCACCUGGCCGUGCUGCUGCUCCAGUUCCAACUGUUCUGCCUGCAGCUAUGGAACCCUGACCUGUUCACCGGACGUGCUACCUGUCCCAGACCUGCUGUCCCAGACCUGCUGGAACCCUGACCUAUUCACCGGAUGUGCUACCUGUCCCAGACCUGCUGUUUUCAACUCUCUAGAGACAGCAGGAGCGGUAGAGAUACUGUCAAAGAUCGGCUAUGAAAAAGCCAACUGACACUUAC